AGUGAACGCUGGCGGUAGGCCUAACACAUGCAAGUCGAACGGCAGCACAGUAAGAGCUUGCUCUUACGGGUGGCGAGUGGCGGACGGGUGAGGAAUACAUCGGAAUCUACUUUUUCGUGGGGGAUACCGUAGGGACACUUACGCUAAUCCCGCAUACGACCUACGGGUGAACGCAGGGGAUCUUCGGACCUUGCGCGAUUGAAUGAGCCGAUGUCGGAUUAGCUAGUUGGCGGGGUAAAGGCCCACCAAGGCGACGAUCCGUAGCUGGUCUGAGAGGAUGAUCAGCCACACUGGAACUGAGACACGGUCCAGACUCCUACGGGAGGCAGCAGUGGGGAAUAGUGGACAAUGGGCGCAAGCCUGAUCCAGCCAUACCGCGUGGGUGAAGAAGGCCUUCGGGUUGUAAAGCCCUUUUGUUGGGAAAGAAAAGCAGCAGGUUAAUACCCCGCUGUUCUGACGGUACCCAAAGAAUAAGCACCGGCUAACUUCGUG
This 492-nucleotide ribosomal RNA is filed under the name uncultured bacterium. RNAcentral describes it as "partial 16S ribosomal RNA". It matches the Rfam family "Bacterial small subunit ribosomal RNA", at positions 29 to 507 of the family's 1533-position model. The record is from RNAcentral.